GGGACACGUGGUAUCCUGUCUGAAUAUGGGGGGACCAUCCUCCAAGGCUAAAUACUCCUGACUGACCGAUAGUGAACCAGUACCGUGAGGGAAAGGCGAAAAGAACCCCGGCGAGGGGAGUGAAAAAGAACCUGAAACCGUGUACGUACAAGCAGUGGGAGCACAGAGCAAUCUGUGUGACUGCGUACCUUUUGUAUAAUGGGUCAGCGACUUAUAUUCUGUAGCAAGGUUAACCGAAUAGGGGAGCCGAAGGGAAACCGAGUCUUAACUGGGCGUUAAGUUGCAGGGUAUAGACCCGAAACCCGGUGAUCUAGCCAUGGGCAGGUUGAAGGUUGGGUAACACUAACUGGAGGACCGAACCGACUAAUGUUGAAAAAUUAGCGGAUGACUUGUGGCUGGGGGUGAAAGGCCAAUCAAACCGGGAGAUAGCUGGUUCUCCCCGAAAGCUAUUUAGGUAGCGCCUCGUGAAUUCAUCUCCGGGGGUAGAGCACUGUUUCGGCAAGGGGGUCAUCCCGACUUACCAACCCGAUGCAAACUGCGAAUACCGGAGAAUGUUAUCACGGGAGACACACGGCGGGUGCUAACGUCCGUCGUGAAGAGGGAAACAACCCAGACCGCCAGCUAAGGUCCCAAAGUCAUGGUUAAGUGGGAAACGAUGUGGGAAGGCCCAGACAGCCAGGAUGUUGGCUUAGAAGCAGCCAUCAUUUAAAGAAAGCGUAAUAGCUCACUGGUCGAGUCGGCCUGCGCGGAAGAUGUAACGGGGCUAAACCAUGCACCGAAGCUGCGGCAGCGACGCUUAUGCGUUGUUGGGUAGGGGAGCGUUCUGUAAGCCUGUGAAGGUGUGCUGUGAGGCAUGCUGGAGGUAUCAGAAGUGCGAAUGCUGACAUAAGUAACGAUAAAGCGGGUGAAAAGCCCGCUCGCCGGAAGACCAAGGGUUCCUGUCCAACGUUAAUCGGGGCAGGGUGAGUCGACCCCUAAGGCGAGGCCGAAAGGCGUAGUCGAUGGGAAACAGGUUAAUAUUCCUGUACUUGGUGUUACUGCGAAGGGGGGACGGAGAAGGCUAUGUUGGCCGGGCGACGGUUGUCCCGGUUUAAGCGUGUAGGCUGGUUUUCCAGGCAAAUCCGGAAAAUCAAGGCUGAGGCGUGAUGACGAGGCACUACGGUGCUGAAGCAACAAAUGCCCUGCUUCCAGGAAAAGCCUCUAAGCAUCAGGUAACAUCAAAUCGUACCCCAAACCGACACAGGUGGUCAGGUAGAGAAUACCAAGGCGCUUGAGAGAACUCGGGUGAAGGAACUAGGCAAAAUGGUGCCGUAACUUCGGGAGAAGGCACGCUGAUAUGUAGGUGAAGUCCCUCGCGGAUGGAGCUGAAAUCAGUCGAAGAUACCAGCUGGCUGCAACUGUUUAUUAAAAACACAGCACUGUGCAAACACGAAAGUGGACGUAUACGGUGUGACGCCUGCCCGGUGCCGGAAGGUUAAUUGAUGGGGUCAGCGCAAGCGAAGCUCUUGAUCGAAGCCCCGGUAAACGGCGGCCGUAACUAUAACGGUCCUAAGGUAGCGAAAUUCCUUGUCGGGUAAGUUCCGACCUGCACGAAUGGCGUAAUGAUGGCCAGGCUGUCUCCACCCGAGACUCAGUGAAAUUGAACUCGCUGUGAAGAUGCAGUGUACCCGCGGCAAGACGGAAAGACCCCGUGAACCUUUACUAUAGCUUGACACUGAACAUUGAGCCUUGAUGUGUAGGAUAGGUGGGAGGCUUUGAAGUGUGGACGCCAGUCUGCAUGGAGCCGACCUUGAAAUACCACCCUUUAAUGUUU
This 1813-nucleotide ribosomal RNA is filed under the name Escherichia coli. RNAcentral's name for it is "partial 23S ribosomal RNA". It matches the Rfam family "Bacterial large subunit ribosomal RNA", at positions 419 to 2215 of the family's 2925-position model. The record is from RNAcentral. Lineage: Bacteria; Pseudomonadati; Pseudomonadota; Gammaproteobacteria; Enterobacterales; Enterobacteriaceae.